Molecule: long non-coding RNA, 239 nt
Organism: Hemiscyllium ocellatum (epaulette shark)
Lineage: Eukaryota; Metazoa; Chordata; Chondrichthyes; Orectolobiformes; Hemiscylliidae
Exons: 3
Source: RefSeq, a predicted model, not a curated record
AGGAAGACAUUUUUGCAUUGGACUUUGAUAGUGCUGUGCCCAUUUUUCAAGACCUGGUCCAUUUUCAAUCUCCAAAGUGGAAAAUUGCUUGUGAGGUCACCAUGGUGCAGGAAUGGUGUAUGGGGCAGACAUGCAGCACAUCUAACAACAAGGAUGCCUCACAAUGGAAAAAUGCAAAAUGAAGGAAAUUUAUUGCCCUCACCUGGUCUACCCUAUGUGAUCCGGACCCCAGCAAUAUG